RNAcentral lists this ribosomal RNA (468 nucleotides) under uncultured bacterium. RNAcentral describes it as "partial 16S ribosomal RNA". It matches the Rfam family "Bacterial small subunit ribosomal RNA", at positions 28 to 507 of the family's 1533-position model. The record is from RNAcentral.
GACGAACGCUGGCGGCGUGCUUAACACAUGCAAGUCGAACGGAAAGGCCCUGCUUUUGUGGGGUGCUCGAGUGGCGAACGGGUGAGUAACACGUGAGUAACCUGCCCUUGACUUUGGGAUAACUUCAGGAAACUGGGGCUAAUACCGGAUAGGAGCUCCUGCUGCAGGGUGGGGGUUGGAAAGUUUCGGCGGUUGGGAAUGGACUCGCGGCUUAUCAGCUUGUUGGUGGGGUAGUGGCUUACCAAGGCUUGGACGGGUAGCAGGCCUGAGAGGGUGACCGGCCACAUUGCGACUGAGAUACGGCCCAGACCCGUACGGGAGGCAGCAGUGGGGAAUAUUGCACAAUGGGCGGAAGGCUGAUGCAGCAACGCCGCGUGCGGGAUGACGGCCUUCGGGUUGUAAACCGCUUUCGCCUGUGACGAAGCGUGAGUGACGGUAAUGGGUAAAGAAGCACCGGCUAACUACGUG